GAUGAACGCUAGCGGCAGGCCUAACACAUGCAGGUCGAGGGGUAGCAGGAUUAAGCUUGCUUAAUUGCUGACGACCGGCGCACGGGUGCGUAACGCGUAUGCAACCUACCUUAUACUGGGGUAUAGCCCGGAGAAAUUCGGAUUAAUCCCCCAUAGUACUAAUGAAUCGCAUGGUUUAUUAGUUAAAGCAUUGCGGUAUAAGAUGGGCAUGCGUCCUAUUAGCUAGAUGGUGAGGUAACGGCUCACCAUGGCUACGAUAGGUAGGGGCCUGAGAGGGUGGUCCCCCACACUGGUACUGAGACACGGACCAGACUCCUACGGGAGGCAGCAGUGAGGAAUAUUGGCCAAUGGGCGCAAGCCUGAACCAGCCAUGCCGCGUGCAGGAAGAAUGCCCUAUGGGUUGUAAACUGCUUUUAUUUGGGAAUAAACCUCUUUACGUGUAGAGAGCUGAAGGUACCAAAUGAAUAAGCACCGGCUAACUCCGUGCCAGCCGCCGCGGUAA
RNAcentral lists this ribosomal RNA (502 nucleotides) under uncultured bacterium. Its description in RNAcentral is "partial 16S ribosomal RNA". It matches the Rfam family "Bacterial small subunit ribosomal RNA", at positions 28 to 523 of the family's 1533-position model. The record is from RNAcentral.